RNAcentral lists this long non-coding RNA (888 nucleotides) under Androctonus crassicauda. Lineage: Eukaryota; Metazoa; Arthropoda; Arachnida; Scorpiones; Buthidae. The record is from RNAcentral.
AUUUGACAUUGUUUAUAGAACAAUUUAUAUUUAAUUCUAUAUAAAAAAAUCAAUAAAAAUGACUGUUAUUAAUUCACAUAUGUUUAUUUCUCUCUGUUAAAUUUAAAUUCAUAUUUUUGGUUUCACAAGCAGCAGUAAGCAGUUUCGAUUUGAUUUUCAUAUAUUUCAUGAAUUCACCAUAAGACAUGCACAGGUGACCUUUACACAGAGUUCAGCUCUAACUAAACUUGUGUCCCAUACGAUUCCUAGAUAUUGUCCAUGAAAUAUUCAUUAAGGCGUGUAACGAAGCUAGUUUACGAGUCGUUGGCACUAGCGGAAAGCUAACUUGCCCAAUGUAAACAACCCCGCUAGCGAACAUGUCACUUGCCGGGAUAGUGGCAAGUAAAGUUGAAAUCCUGGCUACUUUACUGUCCACUUGCCGGCCACGUGACCUGCUUCCGGCUUCUACUGCCUCUGUGUAAACAGAGACAAACCCAUCAGCGGCUAGUCCCACGUGUGAGAUUAAGAUGUCUUCGAAAUGUAAUUCGGAAGAUAUUCUAAAAUUCCUCGAUAUAUACGACGAAUACGAAUGUCUGUGGAACAUUAGAUAUUCAGAUUAUCACAAUAAAUCCAUUCGAAAAAGUAGAAUGUCCAAAUUGUUGCAUGUAUUGUUACAAGAAAACCUUGUAAUAGAAAAUAUGGAAAGUUUAAGAAAAAAUAAAAGUGAUUAAAAAUGUGUGCCGGCAAGAAGUUUUAAAAAUAGAAAAAUCGAAGAAAAGCGGUGCAAGUGUGGAUGAUACAAUUUAGAUUUUGUAUGCGACACCCAAUAGAAAAUACAACUUGCCAGUACACAACUUGCGGCUUCUACUAGUCGCAUAUAAAUAAAAACUUUCCCUGUAAGUCGACUCG